UACGGAAGGGGCAAGCGUUGUUCGGAAUCAUUGGGCGUAAAGGGCGCGUAGGUGGUUCUGUAUGUCUACCGUGAAAGCAUACAGCUCAACUGUAUUUUGUCGGUAGAAACUGCAGGACCUGAGGCUGGGAGGGGCUGGUGGAAUUCCCUGUGUAGCGGUGAAAUGCGUAGAGAUGGGGGAGAACACUCGUGGCGAAGGCGGCCAGCUAGACCAGUUCUGACACUGAGGCGCGACAGCGUGGGGAGCAAACAGG
This 253-nucleotide ribosomal RNA is filed under the name uncultured bacterium. RNAcentral describes it as "partial 16S ribosomal RNA". It matches the Rfam family "Bacterial small subunit ribosomal RNA", at positions 524 to 776 of the family's 1533-position model. The record is from RNAcentral.